UUGUUUUUAUACGGUGGAAAUUCGCCAUUCGGCAUCCCUAAGCAUCACGAGUAUAAAUAGCUCGCGAAUCCCGACAUUCAGCAAAUAAUACAAGAUGAAGCUGCUCUUUCUCCUCGGUAUCGUAUUGUUGUCGGUGAUCCUGUCUGCGGACCCAACGGACGGGCUAAAGCACGGAGACUCCAUCCCAUGCGCGUGUUUCAGAAGCCCCUGUCACUGCUAACUUGUAGCGACGCCUACGACAAGACCGAACUCCUGGACGUCAGCGCCAACAGACAAGAAAUUAUCUAAUAAAGCUUCUUUUCAGUCUAAUUAAAAGUAUAUUUGAUUAUUGGUUCCGUUUUUGGUCCCGUUGUUUCGCUGUUCGCUUCGCAACGCAGUGCAAAACUCACAGUAGCAAAGAGGGAUAAAAGCAGAUGUGUAUGCAAACAGAUUUGUAUAUAUGCAUAUGGAAAAAAUAGGAAUAAAGGUAUGAUUUCAUGUGUGUGUCUGUGUGUGAG
Non-coding RNA from Penaeus vannamei (Pacific white shrimp), 497 nucleotides. Lineage: Eukaryota; Metazoa; Arthropoda; Malacostraca; Decapoda; Penaeidae. The record is from RefSeq and is a predicted model, not a curated record.